This 459-nucleotide ribosomal RNA is filed under the name uncultured bacterium. RNAcentral describes it as "partial 16S ribosomal RNA". It matches the Rfam family "Bacterial small subunit ribosomal RNA", at positions 338 to 795 of the family's 1533-position model. The record is from RNAcentral.
CCUACGGGAGGCAGCAGUGAGGAAUAUUGGUCAAUGGCCGAGAGGCUGAACCAGCCAAGUCGCGUGAGGGAAGAAGGCCCUACGGGUUGUAAACCUCUUUUGUCGGGGAGCAAAGAGAGUCACGUGUGACUCAUUGAGAGUACCCGAAGAAAAAGCAGCGGCUAACUCCGUGCCAGCAGCCGCGGUAAUAUGGAGGAUGCGAGCGUUAUCCGUAUUUAUUGGGUGAAAGGGGUGCGCAGGCGGAGGUGCAAGUCAGCGGUAAACUUGCGGGGCUCAACCCCGUACUGCCGUUGAAACUGCAUCCCUUGAGUGCGCGAGAAGUAUGCGGAAUGCGUGGUGUAGCGGUGAAAUGCAUAGAUAUCACGCAGAACUCCGAUGGCGAAGGCAGCAUACCGGCGCGCAACUGACGCUCAUGCACGAAAGCGUGGGUAUCGAACAGGAUUAGAUACCCUUGUAGUC